Molecule: ribosomal RNA, 98 nt
Filed under: Escherichia coli
Lineage: Bacteria; Pseudomonadati; Pseudomonadota; Gammaproteobacteria; Enterobacterales; Enterobacteriaceae
Also listed under: 1 other name
Description: partial 16S ribosomal RNA
Rfam family: Bacterial small subunit ribosomal RNA
Source: RNAcentral
AAAUUGAAGAGUUUGAUCAUGGCUCAGAUUGAACGCUGGCGGCAGGCCUAACACAUGCAAGUCGAACGGUAACAGGAAACAGCUUGCUGUUUCGCUGA